Molecule: ribosomal RNA, 250 nt
Filed under: uncultured bacterium
Lineage: Bacteria
Description: partial 16S ribosomal RNA
Rfam family: Archaeal small subunit ribosomal RNA
Source: RNAcentral
UACCAGCACCCCGAGUGGUCGGGACGUUUAUUGGGCCUAAAGCAUCCGUAGCCGGUUCUACAAGUCUUCCGUUAAAUCCACCUGCUUAACAGAUGGGCUGCGGAAGAUACUAUAGAGCUAGGAGGCGGGAGAGGCAAGCGGUACUCGAUGGGUAGGGGUAAAAUCCGUUAUCAUUCGAAUGACCACCAGUGGCGAAGGCGGCUUGCCAGAACGCGCUCGACGGUGAGGGAUGAAAGCUGGGGGAGCAAAC